CCUACGGGAGGCAGCAGUGGGGAAUAUUGGGCAAUGGGCGCAAGCCUGACCCAGCAACGCCGCGUGAAGGAAGAAGGCUUUCGGGUUGUAAACUUCUUUUGUCAGGGAAGAGUAGAAGACGGUACCUGACGAAUAAGCCACGGCUAACUACGUGCCAGCAGCCGCGGUAAUACGGGGGUGGAACGCGUUGUGCGGAUUUACUGGGUGUAAAGGGCGUGUAGCCGGGUUGACAAGUCAGAUGUGAAAUCCUGCGGCUUAACCGCAGAACUGCAUUUGAAACUGUUGAUCUUGAGUACUGGAGAGGCAGAUGGAAUUCCUAGUGUAGCGGUGAAAUGCGUAGAUAUUAGGAGGAACACUAGUGGCGAAGGCGGUCUGCUGGACAGCAACUGACGGUGAGGCGCGAAAGCGUGGGGAGCAAACAGGAUUAGAUACCCGUGUAGUC
RNAcentral lists this ribosomal RNA (442 nucleotides) under uncultured bacterium. Its description in RNAcentral is "partial 16S ribosomal RNA". It matches the Rfam family "Bacterial small subunit ribosomal RNA", at positions 338 to 795 of the family's 1533-position model. The record is from RNAcentral.